CGAAUCCAUUUUUUUUUAACUCCCCUCCGGACUCCACUACAUCUAAUUGUCCACCUAGUUACCUCCAAAUACCCCUAAGCCCUUCAUAUAUCCUAGGUCCUUGGCGCCACCAUCUUUGUUUGGGUAGAUGAAGUCCCUGUGGGACACAUUAUCUGCCCACACUAGAUAGCGCUGAUGAAGUGUUUAACUGGGCAUGCGAAC
This is a non-coding RNA of Pelobates cultripes (western spadefoot toad), 201 nucleotides long. The record is from the annotation of a GenBank genome assembly. NCBI's taxonomy places the organism in Eukaryota, Metazoa, Chordata, Amphibia, Anura, Pelobatidae.